This 2424-nucleotide ribosomal RNA is filed under the name candidate division WWE3 bacterium CG08_land_8_20_14_0_20_41_15. RNAcentral's name for it is "bacterial LSU rRNA". It matches the Rfam family "Bacterial large subunit ribosomal RNA", at positions 895 to 2527 of the family's 2925-position model. The record is from RNAcentral. Lineage: Bacteria; candidate division WWE3.
UCUGGGGGUAGAGCACUGGAUGGAAUUUCUUGGACUUGUCCGGAUAUUCCAACCAAACUCCGAAUACCAGAAUGUAUUUAUGGAGAAGUAAGUCUACGAGGGCUAAGCUUCGUAGUCAAAAGGGAAACAACCCAGAUCCUCAUCUAAGGUCCCUAAAUUUAAACUAAGUGCAUCAAAGGAGGUGAGAUUCUUUUGACAGCUAGGAGGUUAGCUUAGAGGCAGCUACCCUUUAAAGAGUGCGUAACAGCUCACUAGUCAAAGGAUCUUGCGCCGAAGAUUCACGGGGCUAAAGUUUAAUACCGAAGAUAGGAAUGCCAGCGCUUUGCGCUGGCGUGGUAGGGGAGCGUUCUCUCGACACUGAAGCCGAACCGCGAGGUUUGGUGGAGUUGAGAGAAGUGAGAAUGUUGGCAUGAGUAACCACAAUUCCGACGCAAACUCGGAACACCGUAAACCCAAGGUUUCCUUGGCAAUGACAAUCAGCCAAGGGUUAGGCGAACCUAAGGGAAAGCCGAAAGGCGUACUCGAACGGACAGCCGGUUAAUAUUCCGGCCCUCCGAUUCUUUUUCAAGAGAGUGCGGAAUUUAGUAAGCGGGGCGAGUUAUUGGAUUCGCGUUGCUGACUUGAGCUUCGGCAAGGGUUGGCAGGAAGUCCGUCUUCGGACGGGUGAACUCCGCUGAGCAAGUUUCCUAGAAAAGCUCUCAAGAGUCAAAAGAAUUGGAAUCGUACCAAAAACCGACACAGGUGGGUGGGCGUUAGUGUGCCAAGGUGAACGAGUGAAACCUCGUCAAGGAACUAGGCAAUCAAGCGACCGUAACUUCGGGAUAAGGUCUCCCCCCACCAAUUUUGCAGCUAAAUACUCAUACAGAGAGCGAACUAUGCUGGUUAGAUAUGUUUUGCUCCGUAAGGUAUUUGGAGGCAGAAUUGGUGGGGGGCGCAGCGAAAGUUUCCCUAGCGACUGUUUAUCAAAAACACAAGUCCCUGCUCAACUCGCAAGAGGAUGUAUAGGGGCUGAGGCCUGACCAGUGCUGGAACGUUAACAGUGUCGGUCUCGCGCUUUUGCGCGCGGCUGAACGCUCGAAGCGCCAGCAAACGUCGGCGAUAACUAUGACAAGGACGGUUGUAGUUAAAAAAUUCAGCUGUAUGCGGGAAUAUCUGGUUAGUAUCUAAUAGUACUCGGCUAAAAAUCGCGAUAGCCAGUAAAAAUCUAUUAGUGCAGACAAUCCGCAGGAAAGACUUUUAGAGUUCAAAAGUCAAAAAAUAUGGAACAAAAAUGGCUUAAGACCAUACCGUGGGAAAAAGGAUGGUAUAUGGCGGGAUUUGUUGAUGGAGAAGGAAGCUUCAAUGUUUCUCUAAUCAAGAGGGAUGAUUACAGAUUAAAAUGGAGAGUUGUUCCGAUAUUUAAUGUGUCCCAAAGAGACAAAAGUGUACUUUUCCUGAUGAAAAAGUACUUAGGAUGCGGGAGAAUACAACAAAGAAAAGAUGGGUUGAGUAUGUAUAUUGUAGAAAAUCCUACGGCAAUCAAAGAAAGAGUCAUCCCCUUUUUCAAAAGAUUUUCCUUUCUCUCCCCCAAGUCAAAAACGAAUUUUUCCAUUUUUUGCCAGAUUGUAAAGUUGCUGGGCGAAAAUGCGAAAAUGGAUAAAGCUUUACUCAUUAAGGUUUGCCGGUUGAGAGAGGAAUUGAACAAAGGAAGAGGCAGAAAAAGAAAAUAUAAUUUAAGCGAUAUAAGAUAGAACUCUAAAAGAAUCCCCAGAGACUAUACGCUGAAUCCCCUGAAUUAUCAAAAGGGGAAUGAUAUAGUCCGAUCUUGCAGGCGACUGCGAGUAUCUCUAAAAAGAGAAUUAACAAAAUGAAUCGUCCAAAGGUAGCGUAAUCCCUUGCCAGGUAAUUUCUGGCCCGCAUGAAUGGCUUAACGGCUGGGGAGCUGUCUCGACGAGGUGCUCGGUGAAAAUGCAGUUCCGGUAAAGAUGCCGGAUACUUGCGGCUAGACGGAAAGACCCCGGGAGCUUUACUAUAUCUAGAUAUUGGUCUUUGGUUUUGGAUGCAGAGAAUAGCGGGGAGGCUUUGAAGCUUCGCCUUCGGGCGGAGUGGAGCCGUCAGUGGAAUACCCGUCUUUCAAAAUUUUAGUUCUAACCCGCCUUAGGCGGGGACAGUGUCUGGUGGGUAGUUUAAGUGGGGCGCUUUUCUCCUAAAAAGUAACGGAGAAGUUUAUAAGGUCAGCUAGCUCCGGAUGGAAAUCGGAGUGAUUGUAUAAAGGCAUAAGCUGGCUUUACUGCAAGGCGGGUAUGCCGCGCAGUCUCGAAAGAGGAACUUAGUGAACCGACCUUGGUUCAUAGAACCGAGGAAGAUCAUCAAACAAAAGUUACCCCGGGGAUAACAGGCUGGUAGGGCCCGAGAGUCCACAUCUACGGCCCUGUUCGGCACCUC